Molecule: long non-coding RNA, 554 nt
Filed under: Glycine max (soybean)
Lineage: Eukaryota; Viridiplantae; Streptophyta; Magnoliopsida; Fabales; Fabaceae
Description: long non-coding RNA (GMAX_LNC001344)
Source: RNAcentral
AUUGUAAAACUUGAAUAAACUGAACCCUGCAAGCAGAAUUUCAGCACAACAAAUGUGUCAAAAUCCAUAAAAUUCAAAGAGAAAGUCAGAGAAAAUAAACAAGGGAAUUUGGCAAUCACAGAAGUUGGAGCGAUGAAGUCGAAGAGGUGAAGGAGCUUCAAUGGAAGAAGGGGUAGGAGCUUCAAUGGAAGAACAAGUGAAGGAGCUUCAAUGGAAGAAGGGGUAGGGCUUCAAUGUCAAAGAGAGGGAGGGUUCAAACGAAGGAGCAAGCAGAAAGGGAGGGUUCAAACGAAGGAGCAAGGAGCAAGCAGUCUAGGGUUCAAAGCAAUCUUGAAAGCUAGCUAGCAGAAAUGUACACAGCAGCCACGAUGAGGCUUCAGUUUCCCCUUUUUUGUUUUAAGGAUUACGACGGUUUUUUCCUAAAAACCGACAUAAAUUUAAAAAAACAUAACAUUCUAAGGCGGUUUUCAAUAACCGCCUUAGAAAGUGCGUCGUAAAAUGAAAUUUGUUACACAAUAAUUACAAAAAUGCCACCGCACCACUUUCUAAAGCGG